RNAcentral lists this unclassified non-coding RNA (181 nucleotides) under soil metagenome. RNAcentral's name for it is "partial internal transcribed spacer 1". The record is from RNAcentral.
CUGAUUUCUGCCUAGGUAGGUUGAGUCUUUCGGGACUCCUUACCAAAGCGAAUACACCACUUGUGCACUAUAAAUGUCUUUUGGGUCAUUUUGGGAAGUCAUCUUAUAGAUGACAACCAAGGGGCCCAGCUUUUUAUAAACCAAUUAAAUUUUUUGUCUGAAAUAAAUCUAGUAAUAGAAA